GGCCGGGUGGUGGAAUGGCAGACACGGGGGACUUAAAAUCCCUUUCUGGCAACAGAGUGUGGGUUCAACUCCCACCCCGGCCACCA
Molecule: transfer RNA, 86 nt
Filed under: bacterium
Lineage: Bacteria
Also listed under: 1 other name
Description: tRNA-Leu
Rfam family: tRNA
About the family: Transfer RNA (tRNA) molecules are approximately 80 nucleotides in length. Their secondary structure includes four short double-helical elements and three loops (D, anti-codon, and T loops).
Source: RNAcentral